Long non-coding RNA from Pieris napi, 504 nucleotides. RefSeq lists it as uncharacterized. The record is from RefSeq and is a predicted model, not a curated record. NCBI's taxonomy places the organism in Eukaryota, Metazoa, Arthropoda, Insecta, Lepidoptera, Pieridae. The transcript has 2 exons.
UAUUAAUUUAAUUAUUUUUCAAGCAUUACAUACUGAUAAAUAAAAUUAAGCAUUUACAGCUCUUCUUUCUUCUGAAUUAAAACAACAUCUUUUAAGAACGCAAUAUAUAACAAGCAUUUGGAGAAAUGCAUAUUUACGAUUCCCCAGUUCUUUGACACCUAAUAGAAACGGAUGGACACUUAAUGAGGAUACGCUAGAUUUUCACUGGUUUGACGGAGAGUGUAUGCCGCAAUUAGUAUUCGACGCUGUUGUUCACGAGGAAAAUAAAAAUAACGAUGAUGAAAAUCAUACUACAGAUGAUGAAGAGGUUGCCGAAUCUGAUACAGAUGAAUCCGAAGAUUCAAGUAGUUCUGAUGAAGAUUCUGAUCCACACACGAAAAAUGAUCAUUUAUAUCUGACGUGAAACGAAUUUAAUUUAUUUCUAAUUUUUUUAUACUUAAAUAAUUGAAACACUGAAGAAAUAUUAUAUUUUUAUAAAUCUAGUUUUGCGAUUUUGUAUUUUAA